RNAcentral lists this ribosomal RNA (254 nucleotides) under uncultured bacterium. RNAcentral describes it as "partial 16S ribosomal RNA". It matches the Rfam family "Bacterial small subunit ribosomal RNA", at positions 524 to 776 of the family's 1533-position model. The record is from RNAcentral.
GACGUAGGGUGCAAGCGUUGUCCGGAUUUAUUGGGCGUAAAGAGCUCGUAGGCGGUCUGUCGCGUCGAUCGUGAAAACUUGGGGCUUAACCCUGAGCUUGCGGUCGAUACGGGCAUGACUGGAGUUCGGCAGGGGAGACUGGAAUUCCUGGUGUAGCGGUGAAAUGCGCAGAUAUCAGGAGGAACACCGGUGGCGAAGGCGGGUCUCUGGGCCGAUACUGACGCUGAGGAGCGAAAGCGUGGGGAGCGAACAGG